RNAcentral lists this ribosomal RNA (220 nucleotides) under Pheidole biconstricta. RNAcentral's name for it is "partial large subunit ribosomal RNA". The record is from RNAcentral. Lineage: Eukaryota; Metazoa; Arthropoda; Insecta; Hymenoptera; Formicidae.
GAAUUUUAUAUAAAUUUUGUAAAAAAUUUAAUAUGUAUUUUAUUAAAUUUAUAUUUUAUUGGGAGGAUGAUUAAAUUAAAUAAACUUUAAAAUUAAAAAAAAUCCAUUAAUUUAUGAGUUAUAGUAUAUAGAAUGGCUAAAUAAAGUUUAAUUAGAAUUAAUUACCUCAGGGAUAACAGCGUUAUAUUUUUAGAGAGAUCUUAUUAAUAAAAAUGUUUGC